RNAcentral lists this long non-coding RNA (21857 nucleotides) under Capsicum annuum. Its description in RNAcentral is "long non-coding RNA (CANN_LNC021529)". Lineage: Eukaryota; Viridiplantae; Streptophyta; Magnoliopsida; Solanales; Solanaceae. The record is from RNAcentral.
AAGGUCCAACAACCCUAAUCGGGUUAAAAACUCAACCAAUAAAACUAAAAACCUAUCUUCUAUAAAUUUGUCCGAAAAUAUCUAAAGAAAAAGAAAAAUAAUAAAAAGAGGAAAAGGAAAGUGAAUUGUCAAUUGUCAUCUUCAUCUUUGCUGUAAUCUUCCCUCCAAUUCUGAAAAUGGCGAUGUAAGUAGCUUUCUUAUUGUUAAUCAAGCUCAAAUCGAGAAAUGCAUGAUGAAUUUUGGGCAUUUUCAUCUAAGGUGUUAAAAAUCUCACCAACACCAUGAAAUUGUCCCAAUCGAAGACUUCAACUCAUAUAGCUUCCAAUCCGAACUUAUUACAACAAGAUAAGUUUUCUUACUUUUACCCCUAAUUUAUUUCUCAGUUAACAUCAAAUCUCAUCAAUUUCAUCUCUCCGACAGAUUGAGCUUAACUAAAAGUCGAUACCACUGCCUAAGAAGAAACCAUUUAAUGAUUAUUUGACCUUAAUCAGAAACUUGAGCUCCGUAGAUCUUAUUGAGGUAAUUUUGCUUUUAAUUGAAACUACCAUUGUAGUCUGUAGAUGAUAAUUGUUGUUGUUGAUUGUGUCUGAACACAUCUACAUCUUGUGCUAUGAAAUUUGUUAUUCGCAGAUCAUUAACUUUUUCUUGUACCUCGUAACAGAAGCGAACCCAGGAUUUGAAGUCUUUGGGUGCAUCGGUAUUGUCAAUGGCGCGCAUAAGCCUCAAAGCAAGACUCAAAAUGUGUUAAGCACUCGUAUCACUUAAUAUGCAACUUAGGUUCUAAUUUCUAAUAUAUACUGUCCUUGUCAUGAGGUUUUCUUAAAAGACGACUAUUUCACUUUAUCAAAAAAAUAAAAAUUCAUAUAUUUGUCAUAAUCUUGGACUAGACAUAUAUUUAUAUUUUUUUCUCUUUUUGCUUUUUUUUUGGUUAAAUUUCACGUUUUAUUUAUACUUUGUGCUUAAACACAAUAGACCGUGAAGUUUUUUUUACGCUUGUUGCUUUUGAUAAUACUGUGGAGCCCAAUAUUAUCUUAAGACAUUAGAAAAAUUUUCAGUGUCGAUUAAGAAAUAUUAUCAUAUUCAAUUGAUCGUCAAAGAUAUAAACAAUACUGAAAAAAUAAAUAUAUAGAACAAGUAUGAGUUCUAAGCUAAUAGCUUUACUUUCUUAUAAUAUGAGGUUUAUUUUUAAGAUGGUUAGAUAAUUAUUUGUAGUAGCUCAAUGGUCAAAAGGGAUUCACUUCAUGGGAUGGUUGCAGAUUCGAAUCCUCAUUCCAACAUUUUAAUGUUAUAAAUUUAGUAAUAGAAAAAAUAUUAUGCUACCAGGGAUUGGUCGCAUGGACGAAAGCAUUGGCUUUAACCAAUGCAUCAAUGGACGGAAGCAUUGGCUUCAACCAUCUCAUCAAGGUGCACUAGCAUUCAACUUAAUGUAGUAGUAAGCCUUUAAUCUGAAGAUUGAAAAUAAAAGAGAAAAUGUUGCGCGAUCCCGGGAUCGAUCCCUGGUCACGUGGAAGGAUAUGAUGUCUUCAGCCAGCGCGGGAAGGUGUACUAGCAUUCAUUUGGGGUGCAUUAUUAACUAUAUCUCAAUUUCUGAAAGUAUAUACACAUGUAUACAUAUAAUUUUUUUUGACGUUAACAGGUGCACGUGCACCCCCACUAAUAGCUGUGGGUCCGCAUCUGCAAUCACAGAUCUAAAGAUGUUUUGUCUGAGAAUAGAGCUCAGACCAAAGAGAUAUAUAAAUUGGCCAAAUGCUACAUCUAUUUGAUGCUUUAACACUAGUAUUAUAAUAAGAUUAAAGGGUUCAUUACGGAUUAAGUCUAAACAGUAGAAAUUAAUGCAUAUUAACUGGUGGUUGUUUUGUUGCAAAACAAUAGGAAUUGUUCUGAUGUUUCAUCCACCUCUUUUCCAUCCAUUUCAAUCUCAUUGUUCACACUCAUAAGAUUUAUAGGGCUUUAUUUUUUUGUAGAUCCUACGCAUUUGAUUGACACUCAUCAGUUAUUUUUUUCAACUUUUAUAAUCCAUUUUCCUUCAAAAACAAAAAAAGGCCCAAGGAAACCCCAAGCUCAUAAUGACAUUUAUUUACCCUGUGAUUAUAGUGACUUCUCCAGAAGCAGAGGCGAACCCAGGAUUUGAAAUUUAUGGGUUCACCGGUGUUGUCAAUGACGCGUAUAAUCCUCAAAGCAAGACUCAAAAUGUGUUAAGCGCUCGUCUCACUUAAUGUGCAACUUAGGUUCUAAUUUCUAAUACAUACUUGCCCUUGUCAGUUAAUGAGACUUUCUUAAGAGACGACUAUUUCACUUUAUCAAAAACAAAAAAAAUUUCAUAUAUUUGUCAUUCAUGCUUAUAUUAUUAGUCUUAGACUAGACAUAUAUUUAUAUUUUUUCUCUUUUAGCCUUUUUUGGUUAAAUCUCACGUUUUAUUUGUACUUGGUGCUUAAACACAAUAGACCGUGAAGAUUUUUUGUGCUUGUUGCUUUUGAUAAUACUGUGGAGCCCAAUAUUAUCUUAAGAUAUUAGAAAAACUUUCAGUGCCGAUUAAGAAAUAUUAUCAUAUUCAAUUAGUCGUCAAAGAUAUAAACAAUAUUGAAAAAAUAAAUAUAUAGAACAAGUAUGAGUUCUAAGAUAAUAAUUUUACUUUCUUAUAAUAUGAGGUUUAUUUUUAAGAUAGUUGGAUAAUCAUUUGUAGUAGCUCAAUGGUCAAAGGGAAUAAGCCUUUAAUUUGAAGAUUGAAAAUAAAAGAGAAAAUGUUGCACAAUUCAGGGAUCGAUCCCUGUUCGCGUGGAUGGAUGUAAUGUCUUCAGCCAGCGCGGAAAGAUGUACUAGCAUUCAUUUGGGGGUGCACUAUUAACUAUAUCUCAAUUUCUGAAGGUAUAUACACAUGUAUACGUAUAAUUUUUUUCGACGUUAAUGGGUGCACGUCCACCCCCACUAAUAGCUGUGGGUCCGCCUCUGCCUUGUAAGAGACUAAAAACCUUGAUUUGUGUACUGCAUGUUUGAUUGUUGGAUGUCGUAGCAUUGUUGUUGUUUAGACAGGACCAAAAUCCAUAUUUUGCAUCUUUCUAAUUCUUAAACUUGGAAGUUGUUCCUUGUCCAUAUUCAACAAGAUCUUUGCUUUAGUUGAUAAUUGUUGAUAAUUGAAAAAUAAUAAUUGUUAGUACCUGCAAAAGCAAAGACACAGUUAACUAAAAAAUCGGCAAGCUGAUUACCUUGUCUGUAAAUGUGUUGGACCACCACCUUUCUUCCCUUUAUUAGAUUUUGAAUCCUCCUUAUUUCAUUAGAAAUACCCCAUGGAAUCUCCCACUGAUUUGUAACAAAUUUAUGAACAGCCAAAGAAUCAGUUUCGAAGCAUAAAGACAUCAAAUUAUGCUUAAUACAAUAUUCCAAUCUCAAUCGUAAUGCCAAAGCUUCAGCCACUAAAUUGAUUUCAUUAGGAAUUCUUCUAAUUUUAGCAUGAAUUAACUCUCCACUGUGAUUCCUAACACAAAAAGCUUCUAAACUUGGGUCAGGAUUGCCCUUCACAUCAGCAUCGAAAUUACAUUUGUACUGAUUUAUAUUAGGAAAAUUCCACUUCACCACAACACUUCUCAGGGUAGGCCUAUAUUCUGAUAAAAAACUCACUAAAUCCAUCCAAGAAUCUGGUAUGUUUUUAAGCCAAAGAAAUAGACAUUUAGCUAGAUAUACUAGAUUUCUAGUUAUUUCCAACCUCAUACUCUAAAGAGAUCUUUUACUACCAUGUUUAAUACAGUUUCUUCUUUUUCAAAUUUGUCAAAGUAUAAACAUUGGUACAGCUCUGAAAAUAGGCUUCAAUUUAGGUACAUUAGAUGCAUUCCAUCAGUUUAGCACACUGUCUUUAGGAAUGGCAAUAGGGAGGUGUGGUGCGGGUAUUUUCAUAACCCGCGAAUCUGAUAACCGCACCGUACCACAUUUUUUUAAACCCGCAUAAAUUCGCUCCACACAAUACCCGUGCAAACCCGCACCGCACCAUAUUUUUUUAACUCUCAUAUUUAUUGAAAUCAAUUGAUUUUCCUUGUUUCGCAUUUUACUGAUCCAACUGCAGUUAGUAAGUCAAUGUUGUCAAUAUUUUCUUAUACGUGUGUAUAUCUGUCUGUAAUGGUAAAUGUAAUUUAUAGAUAUCGUCAUACUUCAUCAAAAUUUAUAGAUAUAUUCUGAUAUUUAUAUCGUAUUGCUGAAAAGGAACCCAAAUAUACAAAUAUAAUCUUAACUGUAAUGACUAAUGAUACAUCACUGCAUGUUGCUCUAGAGUUUUUUACUAUGUCUUGGUCGUGUGCCUGUAGCUAUAAAUUAGCAACAGAUGUGAUUGUUUUUUACUUUAAACAGAUUGAAAAAAUCAUGUACUCUCUCCGUCUCAUAUUAUGUAAAAAAAUGGCACAUAAAAUGGAACGGAAUAUAUAUAAUUUUAGGUAUAUUCACGUGAAUAAUACUAAUUUUUAGUUUUUUAUAAUUUAAACUUGCAUAUACCCGCAACCCACACCGCACCGCACCAUUUAAAAAAUACUCUUACUUUAACUCGCCCCGUACCCGCACCACACUGCAUAACUUAAAACUCGCACCGCAUAGCUUAAAACCCGCACCGCACCCACACCGCCCCAUUGCCAUCCCUAAUUUUCAUCUUCAUCUUUGCUGUAAUCUUCCCUCCAAUUCAGAAAAUGGCGAUAUAAGUAGCUUUCUUAUUGUUAAUCAAGCUCAAAUUAAGAAAUGCAUGAUGAAUUUUAGGCAUUUUCAUCUAAGGUGUUAAAAAUCUCACUAACACCAUGAAAUUAUCUCAAUCGAAUACUUCAACUCAUAUAGCUUCCAAUCCGAACUUAUUACAACAAGAUAAGUUUUAUUACUUUUACCCCUAAUUUAUUUCUCAGUUAACAUCAAAUUCUCAUCAAUUUCAUCUCUCUGACAGAUUGAGCAUAACUAAAAGCCGAUACCACUGCCUAAGAAGAUACCAUUUAAUGAUUAUUUGACCUUAAUCAGAAACUUGAGCUCCGUAGAUCUUAUUGAGGUAAUUAUGCUUUUAAUUAAAACUACCAUUGUAGAUGAUAAUUGUUGUUGUUGAGUGUCUGAACAGAUCUACAUCUUGUGCUAUGAAAGUUGUUAUUUGCAGAUCAUUAACUUUUUCUUGUACCUUGUAAGAGACCUAAAACCCUUGAUUUGUGUACUGCAUGUUUGAUUGUUGGAUGUCGUAGCAUUGUUGUUGUUUAGACAGGACCAAAAUCCAUAUUUUGCAUCUUUCUAAUUCUUAAACUUGGAAGUUGUUCCUUGUCCAUAUUCAACAAGAUCUUUGCUUUAGUUGAUAAUUGUUGAUAAUUGAAAAAUAAUAAUUGUUAGUACCUGCAAAAGCAAAGACACAGUUAACUAAAAAAUCGGCAAGUUGAUUACCUUCUCUGUAAAUGUGUUGGACCACCACCUCUCUUCCCUUUAUUAGAUUUUGAAUCCUCCUUAUUUCAUUAGAAAUACCCCAUGGAAUCUCCCACUGAUUUGUAACAAAUUUAUGAACAGCCAAAGAAUCAGUUUCGAAGCAUAAAGACAUCAAAUUAUGCUUAAUACAAUAUUCCAAUCUCAAUCGUAAUGCCAAAGCUUCAGCCACUAAAUUGAUUUCAUUAGGAAUUCUUCUAAUUUUAGCAUGAAUUAACUUUCCACUGUGAUUCCUAACACAAAAAGCUUCUAAACUUGGGUCAGGAUUGCCCUUCACAUCAGCAUCGAAAUUACAUUUGUACUGAUUUAUAUUAGGAAAAUUUCACUUCACCACAACACUGGGUAGGCCUCUAUUCUGAUAAAAAACUCACUAAGUCCACCCAAGAAUCUGGUAUGUUUUUAAGCCAAGGAAAUAGACAUUUAGCUAGAUACACUAGAUUUCUAGUUAUUUCCAACCUCAUACUCUAAAGAGAUCUUUUACUACUAUGUUUAAUACAGUUUUUUCUUUUUCAAAUUUGCCAAAGUGGAAUCAUUGGUACAACUUUGAAAAUAGACUUCAAUUUAGGUACAUUAGAUGCAUUCCACCACUUUAGCACACUGUCUUUAAUGUGUAAAAAUGGACCAGUCACUCCUGCUAUAGAAGCAAAAUAAUUUCAUAGAUCUUUAGAAUAAUCAUACUGUAAAAACAAGUGAUCAGUAGUUUCCUGAACAUCUUUUUCACAACAGCAGUAAAUCACAUAAUCAGCAAUUCUAUUUCUCAUUAAAAUCUCUCCUAUUGGAAUCUUUUUAUACCACAAUCUUCACAAAAAGAAACAUAUCUUAAAAGGUAUACCUUUCAAUCAUAUAUAUUUGAAGUUCUGAUUUGUGACCUCUUCUUUUUUUCUUCUUUUCUUUUAUAUUUUUGUUUUUUUCCUUUUUUUUUUCUUUUUUUUUCGUUCUUUUUCUUUUUUUCUAUCUUUUAUUUUUCUUUCUUUUUUUGUUUUGCUCUUUUCGUUCUUUUUAAUUUUCUUUUUGGCACCUUUUUUUUUUUCUAUCUUAUAUUUUUUUGUAUUUUUGAAAAAUAUGGCUACUCGAGUACAAGAUACGAAAAUAAUAAAAAUACCAUAAUUGCUUAUUUUAUUUAUAUUUACAUCAUCAUUUAUAUUUGUGUAUUCGUUGAUACAAUUAUAUUUGUAUUUUAUAAUUCGCGCUUGUUUUUUAUAUAUAUUAUAAUUCGUAUUUGUAUUUUAUAGUUUGCACUUGUAUUUGUAUGUUAUAGUUUGCAUUUGUGUUUGUCGCACUUGUAUUUGUAUGUUAUAGUUCGCACUUGUAUUUGUGUUUGCUAGUUCUCAUCAUCAUUUAUAUUACAUAAUUCACACUUGUAUUUUAAAGAAUUAUUUUGUAUUUGUAUUUUAUAAUUGACAGGACAUUGUAUUUAUAUUUUGUGGUUUCAGUUUAUUUAUAUUUGUGUAUUAUUUUUAUUGAUGCACUUGUAUUUUUAAAGAACUAUUUUGUAUUUAUAUUUGUAAUUUGAUCGCAUAUUGUAUUUUUAUUGGUAAUUUAAUUUGUUUCAUUUGUUUGUAGUUGAUAAGAUCAUUUGUAUUUUUAAACAAUUGUAAAAGAAUUUUUAUUUUUCUUUCUACGAACACUUAUAUUUAUAAAAUGAUAAAUUAUACAAAUACAAAUGUUACAUUUGCAUCAAAUGAUACAUAUUUAUACAACUUGAACCAUACACAUACGAAAUGAUACUUGCUUAUAUACGUUUAAAUGAUAAAUUUGAAAUACAAAUACUAACGAUACAUUUGCAUUAAAUGAAUGCAUAUUUAUAUAUUUAAGACCCAAAUAAAUACAAUUAAUUCAUAUACUUUUUUGUAUAUAAAUACAAAUGAUAUAUUAUACAUAUUCAUGGUUAAACUAUUCAACUACAAAUAAUAGAUUUAUUUAAAAUAUAUAGUAUGAUACAAAUAAAUAUAAAAUAUAAAAAAUAUAUAAAUAUAAAUACAACAACAACAACACCAACAAAACAAGAAAGAGAAAAAAUGAAAAGAAAAAAAAAAGGAAAGAAUAACGGAAAAGAAAAAACAGUGAAAAAGGAAAAAAUAAAGAGAAAACAAAAAAAAAAGGGAAAAGAAAAAAUGGAGAAAAAAAUUGAAUAGGAAAAAAAGGAGAGUAAUAGAAAAUAGAGAAAGAGAGAAAAUAACGAGAGAGAUUAUGGAUUGUAAUUGUGGAUAAUUUAUAGGCAAAAGGGGUAUGAAUUGUAAUUAACUAAAAUUUAGGCUACAUAGGAUAAUUAGAAACCUGUAUUUGUCGUCAUGUAGUUAUCUCAAAAAGAAAUAUUAAAAAAUGAAAAAAUAGGAAAAAGAAAAAACGAAGAGAGAGAAAAAUAAUAAACAUCAUUCAAAUCUAUUUUGAGUUUUGAAAUGCAUUAAAAAAACUUCAUAACACAAUCUUUAAUUAAUUGAUGAACAUGAUUUAAGAAAAUAAAAGCUUUUUAAAGCUUUUUAAAUCUUUUUAUACUUAAAUUGUUAUAUAAAAAUAAGAUAAUUAAUUGUAUUUCUGUAUGUGUUUGAUGCACAAAUACAAACAAGCCCAACAAACCCUUGUCCAAAAUCAAAGACACGUCAUUAUUUGAAACAAUUUCUCCUUUUAUUUCUCUGUAUAAUUGAAACAAUCCCUCAUUAUUUCAUUCCGUACAUACAAUUUCUCUUUUUUUUUUCCUCUGUAUAAUUGAAACAAUUCCUCAUUAUUUCAUUCCGUACAGACUUUUCGGAGAAAACAAAAAAGGCUUUUUUUAUAAUUUUUAGCAAAACAAUACUACUUAUUUACAAAAUAAAAAUGAAUUUAAACACAUAAUAUUUUUAUUCAAACCCUUGAAACUACAUGUCUUGAUGAACUUAUUUUAAGUGUUUUAAAGUCUAACAUAAUUUUUAAUCACUUUUAUAGUGUUUGCGUAAAAUAAAAAAUUAUUUAUAAACACUUGAUUUUAGAUCAAAAUGAUCCAAACUGAUUUUAAGUGGACACAAAUUAGCUCUAGGUAUAUACACUUAUGAUAUGAAAGUAGAAUAAUUUGUUGGAACUGAUAAAAUUACAAGAAACAAUUUCUUUUUAACAAAGAAGAUCAUGGAUAAUCUUGAAUUAAAUCAUGAAAUAUUCAAAAUUUUAAAACUGAAAAAGGAUUACUUAAUUCUUCUACAACUAAAAUUUCCAUUCAUGCUUAAAGGGUUUAAUGAAAAUGUACAACCUGAGCAGUGCACAAGUACAACAGAUUACAGAAUAAAUUCUCGAACAAUUCCGGUCAGCUCAAAACCCGACUCCAGCGGCCCGGAAUCCAAAUGUAGCUCGUCUAUGUGGCUCAAUCUUUCUAUUCUUCCAGAAACAACUCUCCGGCACAAGCUUAGCCGCCGUUGUAGCCGUAGCCGCCAUCCUCAUCGGCUCCGACUUGCACCUCGUCAACACAAACGGCUCAUAAGCCACUGAGGUUCCUAGCUUCUGCUCUAUCAUCGUGGCCAUGGACAUUGUGUCUGGAAAAGGACACGAUGACCGUGGCGGUUGAGGUGGGAGGUGCUGGCUCUUGUUAGAUUCUUCUGAGAGGAAAAUUUCCUUUUUCUUCUCGGUGUUACUGCUGCAAACCCAUUUUUCUUUGGAAACUUCCAUUGCUAGUUUGGGUUCGUACAUCAUUAGUAGCAAGCAAUCUGGCAGAAUUGAUUCGUUUUGCUGUUUAAUCGAUUCCGUAGGAUGCUCAACAUCUGUCAUAUAUUCGUUCUUGAUUUCUUUCUUUUCCGGCUCUGAAAUUACUGCUUCAGAUUUCGCUUCUUGUACAACUUCUCCGUCUAUGUUUUCCAAUAAGAGUGCUUCUUCGAUUAACUUUUCUAUCAUUGAUUUGAAUUUCUCAUCAUUAUCUUUUUCUACUACUUCUAAUGUACCAUCAUCUACAGCUACAAUUCCUUCGUUUUCUCUUUCGAUAUAUUCUCCGUUGGAGUUUUCUGAAAAAGAUGAAUAGCUCUUAAUGCUGCUGUCUUCUUCUUCUUUCUCCGGCUCACGGACUCGACUAUCGGGUACUUGUUCAAUUGAGUUUACUUCUACUGCUACAAGUGCCUUUUAUCUCACUCUUCUCUUCAUCUUCUUGCUCUGUCAGAGUUAUUUUUAGAGUUAUUAGAAUUUAUCUAUAAUUAUUAAAUUAAUUAUGUGAAGAUUAUUUAAAAAUAGAGAAAUUUUUAAAAAAAUUAAAGAAUUUUUAAUUAGUAAUUAUUCAGAAUAUAUAAGUCUAAAUAAAAUAAAAGAAAAUCCACAAAGAUUAGCCUACUUAAUUACAUUAAUAUCUAGUAUUGAAUCAAAAUUAAUAAUUCAUUUAAAAUCUAGGAGAAUGGAAUACAUACCACCUAAUUAUGAUAAAAUUAGAUUUAGAUAUCCGCCAAGAUAUUAUAAAUAUAAUUUAAAAUGAAUAAAGUACAACAAUACAAAGAAUUAAAAUAUAUUUGCCGGAGUUAGUAAAAAUUCAAUAGAUACACAAAAAGAUGAAAUAUCAAAAUUAGAAUCACAAAUAGAUAGUUUAGAAUAUGUAUAUCAACAUGACCUAUUCACAAUAAAAUGAAUAAAGAAGAAUUUAUAAUAGAUGAAAAAAUAUAUGAAAACUACGAAGGAUCAAAAAUAAAAAUAGUAUUUUCUAAUCUAGGACGAAGAUAUAAGAAAAUAGGUGAACAUUUAUAUCUAAUGUUAGAAAAAGAAGAAUUAAAAUUAGAAGAUAAAUUAACAGCAAUGGUAAGAAUAGAAAAAGAAAAUGAAGAGAUAGAUAGGAAAAAAGAAAUAGAAAAAAUAAAACAACAAACUACGGAAGAAAUACGAAAAAUAGAAGAAACCAAAAAUAGUAGAAUUGCUGAAUUAGAAAAAGAAUUACAAAUGUUAAAAGAACUGUAUGAACAAAGACAAAAAGAAAAAGAAGAAAAAGAUAGAGAACAGAAAUUACUAAAUGAGAUAAAUCAAUUUAAGGAAAAAUUAGAAAUAAAAAAUGAAGAAUUAGAAAUAAAUAAUAUAGAUAUUGAAGAGACAGAUAAUUAUGAGUCCGAAGAUAGUGAAACAUACACAGAAAUAUUAACAAAUACAAAAAAUUUAGAAAUCAAUGAAGAACAAAAAAUUUAUGAGGAAAACUUAGAAAAUACCCACACAGAAAUAAAUACUCUUGAUAAAAAAGAAAAUGAAAAUAUAAUACCUAAAACAACAGAAAUAAGAAAACCUAUAUAUUAUAAGAAUAAGUUUAAAAAAUAUAAUGAAUAUGAUAAAUGGAUACCAAAACAAAUAGUGAAUAAAAAUUAUAACUUUUUAGAUCUAGACUGUGUAAUAGAUACAGAAAAAACAAUACAAUUAUGGAUAGGAUAUAUGACAAAACAAUUAUUAGAUAAUAAUAUAAAUAUAACAGAUGCACCGGAAUAUAUAGAAAAAACACUAAUAGGAUCAGUAAAACUAUGGUUUGCAAAUCUAACCGAAAAUAGCAAAAAAGUAUUAAGAACUAAUAAACCUAUAGAAGGAACAUCAUCGACAACAACUAAACUAACACCUAUAGAAUUAUUAAAAAAAUAUGAAACAGCUAUAAAAGAUGAAUUUGGUAGUACGACAACAAUCGAAGAAGAACAAAAUGAAGAAAAAGAUACAAAUAGAAAUUUAAUGUUAAAAUUAGCAAUAUGUAAUAUGUGUUAUAUAGAUGAAUAUACUUGCGCAUUUAAAGAAUAUUAUUACAAAGGAGCAUAUAGUAUAGAAGAAAGUAAAGAAAUAAGAAAAUUAUAUUUUAAUAAAUUACCCGAGCCAUUUAGUUCGAAAAUAAUAAAAAGUUGGGAAGAAGCAAAAAUAGUAGAUACGUUAGGAGCAAGAAUAAAAUAUUUACAACAAUGGUAUAGAAACUUAUGUGAAAAAUAUAGAGAAGAAUUAAAAAUGGAAAAAACAUUAAUAAGAAAUUUAGCUUGUUGCAAAAAUAAAAUAGCACCCCAAUUUGGAUGCGAAGAAAGAUAUUAUAAGAAAAGAAAAAGACAUAAGAAAUAUAAGAAAUAUAAAAAAUCAAAAUAUAAAUAUAAAAAACCAAGAAAAAGAUACUAUGUAAAAAAUUAUAAACAUAAAAGACCAUAUAGAAAAAAGAAAUCUAUAAAAGAAUGUACUUGUUAUAAUUGUGGAAAGUUAGGACAUUUAGCUAGAGAUUGUAAAUUACCUAAAAAUCCAAAAAAUAAACAAAUAUCAGAAAUAAAAAUAGAAAAUACCGAAUACAUGCAGAUAGAUUAUAUAGAUUAUGAAUUAGAAAGUGAAGAUAGUAUAUAUGAAAUUUCAGAAAACGAAACAGAUAAUGAAAUAGAUAGCGAAAUAGAUGAAUCAAAUGACUGAAGAAGAUAUAAAAAUAAUAACAAAGGAAGAAUAUUUAAAUGAUGAAGGAACGGAACAAAAAAUAAUAUUUGACAGUAAUAUAUUUGAUGAAAUAAAAGGAAAAGAAUUAGAUUUAAGUGUAGAAAAAAUAUUUAAAAUACCAACAAUAAAAAAUAUUUUUACUAGGAAAAAAGAUGAAUAUUAUGUAGUAUGUCAAAAAGAACAUGUAAUAGACUGCAGAUAUGCAAAAGGAAAAGCUAGUAUACCACUGGUAACAAAAAGAAUAAUUAAUAAAGAAAUAAAUGAUAUAAAAAGUAAAGGAGAUCCAAUAAAAUAUGUACACCUUGGAGGUACAGAGAUAUUAAUAAAAGCAUGUUUUAGAGAAGGAAUAGAUACACCAAUAGAAUUAUAUUUAGCAGACGAUAGAAUUAUAAAACCUAUAGAAAAAAGCAUAAUAACUGCCGUAAAAGGAAAUCUAAUAUACCAAAAAUUUAAAUUUAUAAUAAGUGCAAAUUAUUCAGUAGCAGUAACAGAUAGGAAUAUAGAUAAAUCAUUAGUAUUAUAUUGGAAAAUAUCAGGAAUAGAAUUAACCCCAGGAAGUAAAAUAUUUACAGCAAGAUGUAAAAAUCUAUAUGUAUUAACAACAAAACAUAAAAUAACAGGAAAAAAUAAGAUUAACAAAAUACAAAUAGAAAGCCCAUUCGAACAAAUAGUAAAAACAAUAGAUUAUAAUGAUUAUACCUAUAGAGACAUAGAUACAGAAGAAAAUUUAGAAAUAGUAAAUGAUAGAAUAAGUACAACGAAAAGAAUAGCUAAUGAAAAGCCAGAAUCAUCAAGCUCAUCAAAAAGAACAAGUUAUGAAACAAAUUCAAUAAGUAAUUUAAACCAAUAUUACAUAACGGGAAAAAUAAAUGAAAAAGAAUAUUUAAUACUUUUGAAUACAGGACAAGAAGAAAAUCAUAUAGCAAAAUAUCUAGUAAGAAAUGAAGAAAUAAAAACCGACAAUAAUAUAUGCCCAGACUUACCAAGAAGUUUAAUAAAUAAUAAAAAUAUAGCAGAAAAAGAAAUAAUGUUAGGAGUUAGAAAAAUAAAAAUAGAAUUCGAAGUAAAAGAAGAAAUGCAAAAAGCAGAUAUAAUAUUAGGAAUAAAAUGGUUGGAACAAGUAAAACCAUAUAAUAUAGAACAUACACAAUUAACCUUAACAUAUAACCAAGAAAAGUUAUUCUUAAAAAGAGCCUUAACAUGAAAUGAAGAUACAUGUAUUAAUGAAGAUAGUAGUAGAAGGAUAUUACAGUAGAUAUUAUACGCCUAUGAUAGAUACAGGAGCAGAAGCUAAUUUAUGUAGAUAUAAUUGCUUACCAGAAAGCAAAUGGGAUAAACUAAAAACACCAAUAAUAGUUAAAGGAUUUAAUAAUGAAGGAAGCUUAAUUACUUAUAAAGCUAGGAAUGUAAAAAUACAAGUAUGGGAUAAGAUAUUAACAAUAGAAGAAAUUUAUAAUUAUGAAUUAACAUCAAAAGAUAUACUUUUAGGAAUGCCAUUUUUAGAUAAAUUAUACCCACAUAUAAUAACCAAAACAGACUGGUGGUUUACAACACCAUGCAAACAAAAAGUAAGAGCAAAAAGAGUUAAUAAUAAAAUAAGAAAGAAAACUGAUUGGAUAAAAGGAAGUGAAAAAAUUACACAAAAGUUAGAAAAUAUAAACAAUACUGAAGAUACAGUAGAACUAGUAGUAUUUUCGAUAAAUAAAACAGAAAUAACUAUAUUUUCAAUAAAUAAAAUAGAAAUAAUUCAGAAAAAAUUAGAACAAUUAUAUAGUGAAGAUCCAUUAAAAGGAUGGGAAAAACACAAAACUACUAUAAAAAUUGAAUUAAUAGAUAAGAAUAGCAUAAUAACACAAAAACCAUUAACAUAUAAUUUUGAUGAUUUAAAAGAAUUUAAAAUGCACAUAGAUGAAUUAUUAGAAAAACAAUAUAUACAAAAAAGUAAUAGUAAACAUAAUAGUCCAGCAUUUAUAGUAAAUAAACAUAGUGAACAAAAAAGAGGAAAAAGUAGGAUGGUUAUUGACUAUAGAAAUUUAAAUGCAAAAACUAUAACAUAUAAUUAUCCGAUACCAAAUAAGAUAUUAAAAAUAAGACAAAUCCAAGGAUAUAAUUAUUUUAGCAAAUUUGAUUGUAAAUCAGGAUUUUACCACCUAAAGCUAGAAGAAGAAUCUAAAGAAUUAACCGCAUUUACGGUACCACAAGGAUUUUAUGAAUGGAACGUGUUACCAUUUGGAUAUAAAAAUGCACCAGGUAGAUAUCAACAUUUUAUGGAUAAUUAUUUUAAACAAUUAUCUAAUUGUAUAGUAUACAUAGAUGAUAUAUUAUUAUAUACAAAAACUAAAGAAGAACAUUUAAAAUUAUUAGAACAAUUCACAGAUAUAAUAGAAAAAUCAGGAAUAAGUCUAAGCAAAAAGAAAGCUGAAAUUAUGAAAAACCAGAUAGAAUUUUUAGGAAUACAAAUAGAUAAAAGUGGAGUAAAAAUGCAACAACAUAUAGUACAAAAAAUAAUAAAUUCGAAAGAAGAAUUAGAUACAAAAAAGAAAUUACAAUCAUUUUUAGGAUUAGUAAACCAAGUAAGAGAAUAUAUUCCAAAAUUAGCAGAAACCUUAAAACCACUGCAGAAAAAAUUAAAAAAGGAUAUAGAAUAUAAUUAUGAUGAAAAAGAUAAAAAACAAGUUCAAAAAAUAAAAUUACUUUGUAAAGAAUUACCAAAAUUACAAUUUCCAGAUGAAAAUAGAAAAUUUAUAUAUAUAGUAGAAGCAGAUGCUAGUGAAUAUAGUUACGGAGGAGUACUUAAAUAUCGAUAUGAAGCAGAAAAAAUAGAACACCAUUGUAGAUACUACUCAGGUACGUUCAACGAGACAGAAAUAAAAUGGGAAAUAAAUAGGAAAGAAUUAUGUUCAUUAUAUAAAUGUUUAUUAGCAUUUGAGCCAUAUAUUGUAUAUAACAAAUUUAUUGUACGAACAGAUAAUACACAGGUACGCUGGUGGUUAACAAAGAAAAUACAAAAUUCAGUUACAACAAAAGAGAUUCGGAGACUAGUUUUAAAUAUAUUAAAUUUCACAUUUACAAUUGAAGUGAUCAGUACUAACAAAAAUGUUAUUGCAGAUUACAUAUCAAGACAAAGCUACACAGACUGAAAUAAUAGAAGAAGAUACUCUAGAAAAAAUACUUAACACCCUAACUACGCUUUCAAUGAAAGUGGACAGUAUGGGUAAUGAGAUAGAAAAGCUAAAGACUAAUGAAGAUAAACUGAAGUCUAUAGCUACAAAUCAGCUAACUCAGCAGUGUGCAGAGCUAUGUCGAUCGGAAGACAUUAAAGUUCCAGAGCUAGAAGGAGACGUUGGGACACUCCAUAAAACCCAUAACAUUUAUCAAUCUACUUCUGCAGGUACAAGCAAAGGAGUUAAUCGACCAAGAUACCAGAAUACGAAUAUGAAUAAAAUAUUUGAAAAAUUAUUUAUACCAAAAAUACAAAAAGACCACUUGUUCAUACCCCCACAAGUUAGCACAUACCGAGAUAGCCUAAACCAAGAUAAAAAAGUUUACAACUACACCGCCCAGAAAUACAUAGAAAAUAUAUACAGAGUACAAACUUUUCUAAACCAUAACCCCAGAGCUACAAACAUCAAAGAACCAAACACCAACUAUAUAACCCAAAAAUUACAAGGAUAUAACAAACUAAUUGCACUACCCAAAACUAAUCCAAGCCUAGUAAAAACUUGUUUUGACUAUGGACUGUUAAACAUCAUAUACACCCAAGACGGAGAAGAAUUAACAAUUAUGGAAGAAUUGCACAAGAUAUUCACCACCUACAAAAGGAUAACGAAAGAAAAUCUAUUUUACAUAAAGUGUUAUACUGCACCGGCCGAGAUACUAUAUGACGAAAUAAAACCAGUUAUACAAGUUGUGAAAAUAGGACUAACUAGAGAUAUGAUCAUACCAGAAGAUAUUACACAGCAACCGGAGAUACCCAGAAUUGAGAUACCCGACUUCUACGCAAAUAAACGACUUAUUGGACUAGCUACUAUUAUCCAAGAACUAGCAAAUAAUUAUACUAAUGGAAACCCAAUAUGGAGCUAUUAUUCGAGAGAUCAUCAAAUGAUUUACUCUAAUUCAAAAGAGCUACGACAAGCAGAUAUGGAAGAUGUCAGACAAUGGAUAAUGACAUUACUCAACCCAGAAAAACAAUCUACCGCAAGAGCAAUUAAAAAAGGAUUUAUUUCAGAUGGACUACUGACAAGAUAUUGUAAAAUAAUCGGACACAAAUAUCUAGAUCACCAAUGUUCAAGAUGUAAUGGAGAAGAUAACAUUAUUCCAGAAGUACAUCUAGAAUAAAAGAAGACAAAAUGCCAGCUGAAAAGAUAGGAUAAGAAGCAAUAAUGGAGAUAUAGCAGAUACGACAAGAUCAACGGAGACAAGAUAUUGAAUUAUUGUACAAAAUCUUUAGACUUUACGUAAAAGUUGUAAUUAUUGUAGAUUUUUUAGGCUUGUAGGUUUGUAGAAAAUUUAAAGGCUAGGUAGUAGCCUCCUUUUUUGACUUUUUUAGUAGUUGUUUUACAAAAAAAAAUGUGUGAAGAUUGUAAAGUUUUUCAUUCUAUAAAUGAAGGCAACUGAAGGCAUUGCAAAGCAAGCCUUCAUGCGUUGAAGCAAACACUCUCUCCAUUCCACAACAAAUAUUUUACUCAGUUAAUUAAACAGACAUAUUUCAAUGGAAAAAGCUAUGGAGGAACAAACUUCAGAAAUAUCAAAACUACCCGAACAGGUAUAUUUAUUUAUGAUUAUGAAUAGCUAAAUUCAUAAUUCCCAACAAUCAUGAUAUGAUAAAAUAAAUUCAUAUUAGUUACUUUAUAGUAGAAUUAUUCGAAGAAUAAUAUGUUAAGAAGUUUAUUAACAAAGAGGAAACGGAGAAAUAUCCCUAAGGACUAUGCCAUCCUAAAGGUGAAACCAAUGAGGCAAGAAGCCGUGGCGGGGAGUAACCAGAGUAGAGGCGCUGUUUAAGGGAAAAAGUAUCCGGAUUACCAUGUUAAUAGUGACGGAAGAACAUAUUAUUUAAGAAUAAUCUAGUAUAUAGUAAGCCAAUAUGACCAUAUUUUGUUGUGUACGUGAUUGAAGGGAAUAUUUUGAAAAAAGCAAUUUUAUGAAAAUGAAUGAUUAUUUAUCUGAUGAGAUGGUAGAUAAAUUUAAAAUACUUAUUUUGUAUGCACUUAGAGAUAGAAAAGUAGCAGAUAUAAGAAAAAUCAUAUUAGAAAAAGCUUUUGGUAAAAAUUAUAUGUCUAGAAUAAGCUAUAUACCACAAAUACCUAACGACUCUUAUAAAUACUUAAGGUGAUAAGUUACAUAAAAAAAAAAAGAAGAUAAAAACAAAAACUUUUGCAGUUACUAGAAAAAAUAAAAAUAAACACAUGGAAAAUAAAGAUAUAAAAUUUCUUAAUAAAAAUAUGCAAAAACUACUAAGACUAAAACAAACAGCUACAAAACAAUUUUAAAAAUAGAUCAUUUAGAUUAUCUUAAAGUUUUAAUAUUAUAUAUACUUAAAAACAUAGAAAUUAUAGAUAUUAAGAAAAUAAUAUUAGAAAAAGUAAUAGACUACGAAAUUGAAACUAUAAAUUAUCUAGAACAGUUAUACGAAGAAAUUUACCCAGAAGGAUAUUAUUCAGAUUAAAAAAUGUUAGAAUAUAUUAGACAAACUAGAGAAAAUCAAGAAAAUCUAAAUAAUGAAAUUAAUUAUAGAAACCGAAUCUUAGAAGAUUUAGAAAAAAGUACAUGUGAUAGUUUAUAUAAUUUAAAAAACUCACUACGAGAAGAACAACAUAAGAUAAUAAAUAACAUUGAAAAUCUAGAAUUAGAUAUACAUUACAGUACAGUAAGGAUAAAUUAUUAUACAGAAAUUUGUAACUCUACGAUUACUACAGGAUAAAAUAAUAAACCAAACAAAUUAAUGAAUAUAUCUUACGCAAAAAGUAAAUUAUUAAAAGAUAUUGAAACAAAAUUUAAGAAAUAUCCACGCACAAAGAAAAAUAGAUUCGCUAGAUACCUAAUAAAUCUAUUUCAUACGUCAGAUAUCCGCACCCCUACAAAUGGUAUCCCACCUCUGAUUUCUAUGUGCCAUGGCUGUCACCGCGGUACAUUGAUCUUGUGAUUGAAACUGCACACCAGAAGAACUCUUCUGAUUGUUCUGAAUAACUAAUCCCCUUUCUUCAGUUGCAGCUUGUUCUAGUUUCCUGAAAUUUACAUUAUCGACGCUUCUGUUAGACAGACUACGUGUUUGGCUAACUUUCUUCUUGGUUUUCAUUUUCACUUGACCAAUAGAAGUGACCUUAGGAGAAGAAGGUUCAGGGUUAUCAAAGCCUACCCGUGGUGGUAGGAAACGUAGCGGGGGAUUGGCCACCUUUAAUGCUGCCGUUGGCUAAGGGAAGGGGGGAGAGAGAGAGGCGGCUCAUGACGAGCAUGGCUAGGGCUAAGAAUGGAUUUGGAGAGUUUCAUGGAAGAUGAAGAAAGGCGUGAAUUGAAGCAGAUGAAGACUUCACUAGUGGUAGUGAUGGUGCGGGGAAUGGGGCUUGUCUAAGUCCUUUAGCUAGGGGAGGACAUUAUUUUUUUGGUUUCAGUACUACAAAUUGUUGUUAUAGGUAGAUAUGGAUGGGAUCCAAGUGGGGUCCGAGAGGUGUAAAAAAAGUUGUGUUUGUAUGGUGGAAUGGGGGUGGGGUGAGGGGUUCGCAGAAGGAACAGAAAUGCAGAAAAGGUAGUGUGAGGUGCGUGUCUAGUUUGUUGAAUGCAAAAGCUAUGGGGGAGGAUGUUUGAAGCGUUGUUCUUUAGUUGAAUGUGAAGAUGAUUAUGGGGUAGGGAUAAUUGCCUAAUGUACAAUUUAAUAUUGCUAGAUCCACGGUAUGACAAAAAAGGGAGUGCUCUCCACUAAAAAGAUGAUACUCCAUCGAUCCCAUAUGAAAUCUUUUUGACUUCGCAGAUUUAAAAAUAAAUAAAUUAUAUUUAUGGGUUAAAAUAAUUCUUACAUAUUUAUGUGUCUCUAAAUAUUUUUAUUAAGGAUAAGAAAAUUUCAAAUUAAUUUUUUUUUAAUUAUAGUAAGAAAUAAAUCGAUUUAACAAAGCCUUAAACAUUAGCCAUUAUAGAGAGAUUCACUAUGUAUCUCAACGGUAAACUUGCCGCGGGUCAUUUUCAACAAUGAACUGAUGUGGGUGGUUUUGAAUAUAAUUUCUUGGUUAUCUUUUUCUCUAUUACUCUUAUUUUAGGCAGAAUUAGAAUUAUUAGUUUAUGAGUACGAGUCAUAAUUUUUAUUGUUAAAUAAGUUUUUUAGUACGUAUAAUUUGAGUCAAAACUAUUAGUUUUGCCAAAACCCGUUAGUCCAUAACGUUGGCUCUAGCCCCCGACUCCCUACAACUAAUAAAAACGUCCUUUCACUCUAGCUUACAUAGCAUGUGCUGCUUCUAAUUUUGGUUGUCAUAUUUCAGCAGAUGGGAAUGGGCAACUGUUAGGGUGUGAUAUUAACAUGUAGUUUGUGUUAUAGUAUUAUAUUUUUAUCAUAUGUAAAAUCACUUUCUUAUACUUCGUUUAAAAAAGAAUGACCUAUUUUUCUUUUUAGUCCGUUUAAAAAAGAAUGACCCCUUUUUUUUAGCAAAAUUUUAAUUUUAAUUUUCACUUGACAUGUUUAGGACCAUAAGAUUAAAGGACAUUUUGGUACAUUUAACACAACUUUAAUUUAAUGCCACAAGAUUCAAAAGUCUUCUUUAUUUUCUUAAACUUUGUAUCAAGUCAAAGUAGGUCAUUCUUUUUUAAACGAAGGGAGUAUUAAUGAAAUCUUUAUUUGAAUAGAUCAUUGUGUUAAUAUGUGUGUCCUUUACUUAUAUAGUAGACAAUUUUGUGUAUGGAGUAUUUGGACUCAUGCACGGAAGAUUAAAAUUGUCGGUUCUUAUAAGUAAUAAAUUAAUGUUUAUAAUCAAAGAUGAGGUAGGACAAACAUCUUAAUAAUUGUAGCAUAAGAUUAAAUAUAAUUUGAUUUUGAUUAUGAGAGUGGUAAUAUUCCAACUUCUUGUGCUAGUAUAUUUCGUAUGUAUCGAACGGACCAAUUAGAGAUGCUUGUUUAUGUUCUGAAUUUUAAUAAAUAACUUUCCUAAUCCAUUACAUGUACUCAUACUUUUAAUCUUGAUAUAAUUACUAUAAUCUAUGUAGUUUGGUUUAUUGUUUUAAUCUAUUAAAAGGUGAGACUCUUUCACGAGUCAAUAUAUUCCUGAUAGUUUGAAUGAUGAUAAAUUACUUAGUGAAAUAUUAAUUAGUUAAUAGAACCAUGUCUUGGACUUGAGAUAGACGACACCCCUUUAUGGUUGCUUAUAAGUUUUCACGUGAAAACCCUGCAGGUAAAUUUUAUAUCCGUUAUGUGAAAUAAGUUAAGCAUUACAAAUAAAAAAUUAAAUUAAUAAAUGAGUUAAAUUUUUUAGAGAAUUUAAUUUAAUUGAUUGGUGUCGGUAAUUCUAACAUGGAGAGUUAAAUAAGAUGUAAUAGUAGAUUUUGAAAUUAAAUCUAGGAGUGCAAUUAUAAAUUUUUAGUGGAAUAAUUUAUAAUUUAUUAUGGUAUGAUAAUUCUUCUAUCAUCGAAUUAAUAUCAUAAUUGAAAGCCUCACUUAAUAAAUAUGUAGUCUGUGCUACACCUGAUUACCUAUUCAAUUUUGGAAAAGAAAAGAAGCCUACUAGGAGAAGUAAUAUUAAUUACUGGUCUUCUAUAAGGAAUAAAAGAAUUAAAAAAUCAAUUUUGGCAUUAUAAAAAAUUUAAAGCUGAAAAAUGUUUUGGCAUUAAGUGGGUUUAAGGCUAAAAAUGUUUUUGACUAUAAGAUUAUAAUAAAGGGCAAAAACAUUUGCCUCUUGUCCUUUCUCAUCCUGUUGAAAGUGGGAAUAAGUAGAAGAUGAUGUUUGAGAAUUCGAUGAUCUUUCUUGAAUCCAAAAACGCUUACCCACAUAAGUUUGAUAAGCAAAGGUUAAGUCAGGAAAUAGUAGAAGGUAGCAGACUUGGCAAACAAAGUGUUGAACGAGUGAAAGCUUCAAGAGGUAAGUUUUCUGAUUUUCGUUUUGAUUAUGUUAUCCAAAUUAUAUGUAAGUUAUAUUGAUCCUGUAGAAUUGUUGCUUCCACUAUGCAUGUUCUAACAACAACUUCGAGCAGUAAUAAAGAAAGGACAUUUAUGUAUAAUGCUAUUAACAAUAUUGAUAAACAUAAUGGAAUUCGGAGCCUAAAAGGAAAGUUUUUUAAUUCAAAUUUCAAAGGGGAAAUAUGAAAAUAGAAAAAUUCUAAAACGGAUACCUUGUCGAUUAAAAGUUAACAUCGUCAAUUACAUGGUAAAGUGCAAGGUAAAAUCAUAAUUUUACUUUACAAGGUAAAUGAAGUCACUUACCUUAUCCUUUGACUGAAAAGUGAUUGAAAAAGUACAAGGUAAAACCGUUAAUUUACCUUACAAGGUAAAUUGAGUCACUUACCUAUCCUUUGAUUGAAAAAAGUGGGGAAUAAAUUUCCCUAAAAUAGAAGUAUCUAUAAGAUGGGACUUACCGUUGAUACGGGAGGGAAUAAAUUUUCUUUUGCAAGCUGAUUGUAAGCCAAGUAUGGACUCUCACCUUGUAAGGUGGGAUCUCAUGUUCACUUGUAAGGUAGGAUCCCAUGUUUGUCUUAUAACAACUUUAAAAUUCAUGGUGCUAUAUAAAGAGUGCGAGUGUAGGUUUAUUUCAUUUGCAUCAAUUCAAUUUUUUUUUGUCAAAGUUCAUAACUCAAAAUAUUUGUUGAACCUUAUUCAUUUCUUACUUUAAGAUGGAUGAUAAUAAGGUAAGAGUAAAUUUACAUUGGGGUGGUAAAGUUUUGCAUGAUGAGGAUUCGGUGCGAUAUAGUCGACGUCCUAUAGUGGUUCAAUCAUUUUCUUUAUUUCAUUGAUGUGCUAUAAAUUCAUAGCACUUACGAUACUUAAACUUGGAGAAUAUGCAUGUACUUACGGCUAUUUUAUUGGAUUUGAUGUGUUUUUGGAGUGAUUUUGCAGGAAACUAGGUUUUGGAUGGUAAAAGAAAGAAAAACUAGGUUUUGGAUGC